Molecule: unclassified non-coding RNA, 338 nt
Filed under: soil metagenome
Description: partial contains 5.8S ribosomal RNA, internal transcribed spacer 2, and large subunit ribosomal RNA
Rfam family: 5.8S ribosomal RNA (bases 1-120)
Source: RNAcentral
GAUGAAGAACGUAGCGAAAUGCGAUAAGUAAUGUGAAUUGCAGAAUUCAGUGAAUCAUCGAAUCUUUGAACGCACAUUGCGCCCGGCAGUACUCUGCCGGGCAUGCCUGUUCGAGCGUCAUUUCAACCCUCAAGCCCUGCUUGGUGUUGGGGUCCCACGGCCGCCGUGGGCCCUGAAAGGAAGUGGCGGGCUCGCUACAACUCCGAGCGUAGUAAUUCAUUAUCUCGCUUAGGGCGUUGGGCGGCGCUCCUGCCGUUAAAGAACCAUCUUUAACUCAAGGUUGACCUCGGAUCAGGUAGGAAUACCCGCUGAGCUUAAGCAUAUCAAUAAGCGGAGGA